UACGUAGGGACCAAGCGUUGUUCGGAAUUACUGGGCGUAAAGCGCACGUAGGCGGAUAUUUAAGUCGGGGGUGAAAUCCCGGGGCUCAACCCCGGAACUGCCUUCGAUACUGGGUAUCUUGAGUACGGAAGAGGUGAGUGGAAUUGCGAGUGUAGAGGUGAAAUUCGUAGAUAUUCGCAGGAACACCAGUGGCGAAGGCAGCUCACUGGUCCGAUACUGACGCUGAGGUGCGAAAGCGUGGGGAGCAAACAGG
Molecule: ribosomal RNA, 253 nt
Filed under: uncultured bacterium
Lineage: Bacteria
Description: partial 16S ribosomal RNA
Rfam family: Bacterial small subunit ribosomal RNA
Source: RNAcentral